This 484-nucleotide ribosomal RNA is filed under the name uncultured bacterium. RNAcentral describes it as "partial 16S ribosomal RNA". It matches the Rfam family "Bacterial small subunit ribosomal RNA", at positions 30 to 507 of the family's 1533-position model. The record is from RNAcentral.
AUUGAACGCUGGCGGCAGGCCUAACACAUGCAAGUCGAGCGGAUGAAGGGAGCUUGCUCCUGGAUUCAGCGGCGGACGGGUGAGUAAUGCCUAGGAAUCUGCCUGGUAGUGGGGGAUAACGUCCGGAAACGGGCGCUAAUACCGCAUACGUCCUGAGGGAGAAAGUGGGGGAUCUUCGGACCUCACGCUAUCAGAUGAGCCUAGGUCGGAUUAGCUAGUUGGUGGGGUAAAGGCCUACCAAGGCGACGAUCCGUAACUGGUCUGAGAGGAUGAUCAGUCACACUGGAACGGAAACACGGUCCAGACUCCUACGGGAGGCAGCAGUGGGGAAUAUUGGACAAUGGGCGAAAGCCUGAUCCAGCCAUGCCGCGUGUGUGAAGAAGGUCUUCGGAUUGUAAAGCACUUUAAGGUGGGAGGAAGGGCAGUAAGUUAAUACCUUGCUGUUUUGACGUUACCAACAGAAUAAGCACCGGCUAACUUCGUG